AGAGCGAACGCUGGCGGCAGGCCUAAUACAUGCAAGUCGAACGGAUCCUUCGGGAUUAGUGGCGGACGGGUGAGUAACACGUGGGAACGUACCCUUUGGUUCGGAACAACUCAGGGAAACUUGAGCUAAUACCGAAUGUGCCCUUCGGGGGAAAGAUUUAUCGCCAUUGGAGCGGCCCGCGUCUGAUUAGCUAGUUGGUAGGGUAAAGGCCUACCAAGGCUACGAUCAGUAGCUGGUCUGAGAGGAUGAUCAGCCACACUGGGACUGAGACACGGCCCAGACUCCUACGGGAGGCAGCAGUAGGGAAUCUUGCGCAAUGGGCGAAAGCCUGACGCAGCCAUGCCGCGUGAAUGAUGAAGGUCUUAGGAUUUGUAAAAUUCUUUCAGCGGGGACGAUAAUGACGGUACCCGCAGAAGAAGCCCCGGCUAACUUCGUGCCAGCAGCCGC
This 447-nucleotide ribosomal RNA is filed under the name uncultured bacterium. Its description in RNAcentral is "SSU rRNA". It matches the Rfam family "Bacterial small subunit ribosomal RNA", at positions 26 to 518 of the family's 1533-position model. The record is from RNAcentral.